This 405-nucleotide ribosomal RNA is filed under the name uncultured bacterium. RNAcentral's name for it is "partial 16S ribosomal RNA". It matches the Rfam family "Bacterial small subunit ribosomal RNA", at positions 28 to 526 of the family's 1533-position model. The record is from RNAcentral.
GAUGAACGCUGGCGGCGUGCCUAAUACAUGCAAGUCGAGCGAAGCGGGGACGGGUGAGUAACACGUGGAUAACCUCCUAUAAGACUGGGAUAACUUCGGGAAACCGGAGCUAAACCGGAUAAUUAUAGAUGGAUCCGCGCUGCAUUAGCUAGUGGGUAAGGUAACGGCUUACCAAGGCAACGAUGCAUAGCCGACCUGAGCGUGUGAUCGGCCACACUGGAACUGAGACACGGUCCAUAUUCCGACGGGAGGCAGCAGGAGGGAAUCUUCCGCAAUGGGCGAAAGCCUGACAGAGCAACGCCGCUUGAGUGAAGAAGGUUUUCGGAUCGUAAAACUCUGUUGUUAGAGAAGCGGUAUCUAACCAGAAAGCCACGGCUAACUACGUGCCAGCAGCCGCGGUAAUUC